Cyprinus carpio carpio is the source of this 346-nucleotide long non-coding RNA. Lineage: Eukaryota; Metazoa; Chordata; Actinopteri; Cypriniformes; Cyprinidae. The record is from Ensembl.
AUGAAACUGACCAGGAACAGUAAAAUUUCUGAUGGAUAUAACUGGGUGUGCAGAUCUAAAAAAAUCAUCGUGGAGUUAAAAAGCAGCCGAUCUGUAAGGACAGGAUCUUUAUUUGAAAAAUCAAAAAUAAGCUUGCCAUCAUGGUUAACAUUUAUUUACAGGUUCUCUCAAGGAUUGCACCUGAGACAGAUAGACAUGAUGCAGGACAGGAUUGCUAGAAGUUCUAAAACUCUCUCCAGAAUGGCUAAGGUCCUGAGAAAGAUCUGUACCAAGGCUAUGAAAGAGUACCAAAAAAGAAGAAGGCAGCAGAUGGGAGGUCAACAAGAAUUUGUUGUUAUUGAUGAAA